Oncorhynchus kisutch (coho salmon) is the source of this 3167-nucleotide long non-coding RNA. The record is from Ensembl. NCBI's taxonomy places the organism in Eukaryota, Metazoa, Chordata, Actinopteri, Salmoniformes, Salmonidae.
UGCACGAGGGGGUCCUUCGGGGGUACGCCGGGCAGGGCAACAUUCAGUUGGUGGUACAGUAACCGCAAAAGGUUGGGAACCACUGCAGUAAUACAUGAAGGUGUGGUUGACUGUGAGGGACUGUGAUGUCAGAUGUAUCCUAUUUCCUGUCUUUCUAAGUAGAUGUCAGACAGAGACAGACAGCAGUAUACAGGCAGCUGUGGUGAUGGUGAUGUCACUGCUGAAGUGUUUGCUGCUGUUCUUCUUCUCAUUCAAUGAAUUGACCACAGCAGCAGAAGCCAUUCUCUGGGUGAAGACAGGGGAGAAGUUUACCAUGAAGUGCUCCACCACUCUAAAAGACCAGGAUGGAAUGUACCUGUAUGUUGGGCUGGACAGGGAGGUGUUGUAUUACCACCAGCGUGACUCCAAGCUGUCCCCCAGGAAAGGCUACUGGGACAGAGUGACGACUGAGGGACCUGUGGACCAACUGACCAUCACCGUCAGUAACCUGACCAUAGAGGACACAGGAGUCUACUGGUGUGUUUACACAACAUUCAAUGAUGCCACGUUUGAAAAUGAUAUCAACCAAGGAAAUGGCUCCACUCUGGUCGUGGUGAAUGACGAUGUCCUACAGCUGCCAUGUCCUACAGCUACUGCAGUAACGCCCUUUCACCCAGCCAAUGAGAAGCAGUGCCCAUCUGGCGUGGUAAACAUCAUCAUCAUCAUCAUCAUCAUCAUCACCAGCCUCUUGACCAUCCUGAUGUGUGCUGUCAUCUUCCUCAUCUGGCUCCCUCCACAGGUGAAGAGGUGCUGUAAACAGGGAGGAUCCACACCCCAGGUCAUUCCUGAGAGUGUCUAUGAAGACAUGGCCAGGAAUCACACUUCUCCACCUGACACACAGGUAGAAUCGUACCUCUAUUCUGUGUCUUCCAAAGGAGGAAGUAGGACCACUGAGUAGCUUCUUCAAAUGCUUUUUCUGAAUAUUGCUUCUUUACUUUCUCAGAAUUGAAAAGCCUGUUCUGCUGUAUUUCACAGUUCUAACCUCAAUGCAAGUCUUAGUGGUAAAUUGUUUGUGUGUGUCGCACCAUAACAUGCUUAUGUGUGUGAAUAAAAUCUCUAUAUGGAAAGUAUUCGUAUUUCAACAGAAGACCAGCGGGAAGAAGGGAACAGCCAAUGUUAUAUUCCAGGGCUAUUCAACUAUAUUCUUACGAGGGCCAGAUGUAAAAAAAAAAAAAAAAGGUUCAUUUCAGGGGGGGGUGGACAUUUUCCACAUGCGACGCACACACACCAAUAAAGCACUUUUCUUCAAAUGAAAUGUUGCUAAAAGUAGUUAGGGAAGAAGUGAAAAGUGCUCGAUCAACGUGAGUUGAGGUGCAACCAAACAAUGUGCUCCUCGUUGAAAAGGAAAAGGCUCAAUGCUUGCUCACCAUUUUAACGAUUCAAAGAUUGGUGAUUUGAAAAUCAUCUGAAAGCUAAGCAUCUCAAUAAAUAACAGAUAACAACCAUAGUGCUUUUCAUUUUGGCACUGAACGUUGGGUUUUGGUGCAGAUCUUUUAUGAAUGUUCAGAAUUGAUCAAAGGGCCAGUCUAAAUGAAUAAACUGGCCAGAUCUGGCCCGUGGGCCGCCAGUUGAAUAUCCCUGUUUUAGUCCAUAAGGUGAACAGUUGAUAGCGAUGGAGGCCUACCUAUACCUUUUUUCAAUACAUCAGGUCAUAAGAUUUAUAUUGGUUUUUAGUUCUAAACAAUAGUGUAGGCUGUGUUUUUCUGUAGUGUUUUUAGGUCACUGGACCACUCUGGAAGCUGUUCCAGUGCAUGGGGUCUGCCACACAGUCAGAAGAGCUUCAACGUUAAAAUGAGAACAGUUUGUUAAGACUUGUAUUAUAUUUCAUCACAGGUAGAAAUAUUUUAGCUGCCUAAACUUCAUCAGGUACAUCAGGAUAUUACAUUCCAUUUGAUUAUUCUAUGAUUUUAGUUGAGAUAGCUAGAAGGUUAAAACCAUAAUGGUCUGAGUACAUUGUUGAUGCUGUUACGGAGUAAUGAGUGUGUCUUGUGGUUGAAAAUAGAAUCAUUAAUUUUUACCAAGUGACGUAGUAAUUGUCUCACACUAUGAGUCAGUUUUUUACUUAUGUUUCAACUUCAUAACAGCUAUUUUCACUUUAAAAUAGAUGUAAAUGGGUAUUGUAUCUUUUUAAAGGUAGAAAAUAUUCUCACCAUUUGCCUUUUAAUCAAAGUACUGAUAUAUUCAUGUGUAAUUUAACUUGUGUAUUCAUGUUUAUGUUGUAUUUGUGUAUGUGGUACGCAUUGGUGAUGUUCAGCUAUAUUUCUUACAUUAUAUUGUAUGUUUUGGAAAGCUUUCUAUCUAAACCAAGUGAAGACAAGUUCAGACAGGAAACCAGAGUAUUUGCAUCAGCUGAUAUUGCACCAAUUAGAUUCACUCUACUGCUUUCCGACCACCCACCCCAGAUUCCACCUGCCUUGUUCACUGUUUAUUAUUAUUAUGUUAUCAUUAUGCAUGCUCUGGCAGUGAGCUACCCCAAAGGAGCAGAGCCUAACGCCAAGAGUAAUGUAUUGAAUGCAUUUGAAUACUUUCUAAUAAAUGUCCAAUUUAUAUGUCAAUAUACAUGAGCAGCAUCAUUAAGUUGUUUUUUCAACAUACUGUAUUCUACAAUCAUAUCCAAAAUCAUAACCAUAAGUCAAGUACUCCAUUAAUGUCACACUGACACAUAUCUUGUAAGCCAGACCUCCGUGUGCUGCUGGUGACAGGUGGUUUCUGAUGUGGUGGCAGCAGACAGAUGAGAAACUAUACCCAACACCUCAGGGGAACAUGGAUGCUUCUCUGUUACACGUCACUCAUUUUCAGAAACCCACCACAGUGAGUGAAUAACUCAACACCAACCACACAGAGCAAACCCUGCAUGGCAUACGGAUACGGAGCGCAGGCUGUAUCCCCACUCUCACAAACUCUACUAGUUAUUUAUUUCAGAGAGACACAUUGAGAGAGAAGUGUGUCUUAAAAGUCAAUCUUUUUCUGAACGUAUAAAUGUUAUUCUUAAUCAGAAGACUUAAGGUCGAGGUGGUUUUGUGUCUUCUACUAUGGGUUGGUCAAAACAAGCAUUGUUAAUCCAAGAUGGCGUAGCAGUGCGAACGUGUUUGUCGUUGUCCCAUGUAAAUUAGUUUUUUUUCAUAAUU